Molecule: RNase P RNA, 348 nt
Filed under: Candidatus Halobonum tyrrellensis G22
Lineage: Archaea; Methanobacteriati; Methanobacteriota; Halobacteria; Halobacteriales; Haloferacaceae
Description: Archaeal RNase P
Rfam family: Archaeal RNase P
About the family: Ribonuclease P (RNase P) is a ubiquitous endoribonuclease, found in archaea, bacteria and eukarya as well as chloroplasts and mitochondria. Its best characterised activity is the generation of mature 5'-ends of tRNAs by cleaving the 5'-leader elements of precursor-tRNAs.
Source: Rfam by way of RNAcentral
GGCAGAGGGAGCCCGACCCCCGUGCCCCCGACCGACAGCGACGGGGCAUGAGGAAAGUCCCCCCACCGAACCGGACGGGCGACCGGACGCAAGUCCGGGGUCGGAGACGGCCGGCUCUGGAACAGAAACGAGACCGCCCGGCGCGACCGAUGAGGCGUGCGAACCGACCCGCGAGGGGAGGGAGCUAACCCGCCGAGGGUCGACCGCCGGGGACGGGUGGAACGGCGAAUCCUCGCCGGUGCAAGUCCGCGCCAGGGGGCGGCGCACGCCCCCGAAGGUAGUCCGGGGACGGCGCGGACGCUCAGCCGAAUGUCGGGCCGAACCGAAGGGGGCUUACUCCCCUCAGCC